AUACUUACCUGGCCAGGGAGGUAGUUUCCCAGGGUGAGGCUUAUCCAUUGCACCUUGAACGUUCUCCACAUUCUGAAAUCCCAACUGCAAAACUUGUGGUAGUCGGGAACUGAGUACUAUUUUCCUCCAGU
Rattus norvegicus (Norway rat) is the source of this 131-nucleotide small nuclear RNA. Ensembl annotates it as U1 spliceosomal RNA. NCBI's taxonomy places the organism in Eukaryota, Metazoa, Chordata, Mammalia, Rodentia, Muridae. The record is from Ensembl.